RNAcentral lists this unclassified non-coding RNA (254 nucleotides) under uncultured Acidimicrobiia bacterium. RNAcentral describes it as "contains 16S-23S intergenic spacer region". It matches the Rfam family "Bacterial small subunit ribosomal RNA", at positions 524 to 776 of the family's 1533-position model. The record is from RNAcentral. Lineage: Bacteria; Bacillati; Actinomycetota; Acidimicrobiia.
UACGUAGGGUGCAAGCGUUAUCCGGAAUCAUUGGGCGUAAAGAGCUCGUAGGCGGUCCAACAAGUCGGAUGUGAAAGUCCGAGGCUCAACCUCGGAAUUGCAGUCGAUACUGUGGUGACUCGAGUCCGGUAGAGGAGAAUGGAAUUCCGGGUGUAGCGGUGAAAUGCGCAGAUAUCGGGAGGAACACCAGUGGCGAAGGCGGUUCUCUGGGCCGGCACUGACGCUGAGGAGCGAAAGCGUGGGGAGCAAACAGG